GAUGAACGCUGGCGGCGUGCCUAAUACAUGCAAGUCGAGCGAACGGACGAGAAGCUUGCUUCUCUGAUGUUAGCGGCGGACGGGUGAGUAACACGUGGAUAACCUACCUAUAAGACUGGGAUAACUUCGGGAAACCGGAGCUAAUACCGGAUAAUAUUUUGAACCGCAUGGUUCAAAAGUGAAAGACGGUCUUGCUGUCACUUAUAGAUGGAUCCGCGCUGCAUUAGCUAGUUGGUAGGGUAACGGCUUACCACGGCAACGAUGCAUAGCCGACCUGAUAGGGUGAUAGGCCACACUGGAACUGAGACACGGUCCAGAGUCCUACGGGAGGCAGCAGUAGGGAAUCUUCCGCAAUGGGCGAAAGCCUGACGGAGCAACGCCGCGUGAGUGAUGAAGGUCCUCGGAUCGUAAAACUCUGUUAUUAGGGAAGAACAUAUGUGUAAGUAACUGUGCACAUCGUGACGGUACCUAAUCAGAAAGCCACGGCUAACUACGUG
Molecule: ribosomal RNA, 497 nt
Filed under: uncultured bacterium
Lineage: Bacteria
Description: partial 16S ribosomal RNA
Rfam family: Bacterial small subunit ribosomal RNA
Source: RNAcentral